AAAGCAUAAAAAAGGACUUCUAAUCCUAAAAUUCUUUACAGAGUGCUUUG
This 50-nucleotide transfer RNA is filed under the name Chortoglyphus arcuatus. RNAcentral describes it as "tRNA-Ser". Lineage: Eukaryota; Metazoa; Arthropoda; Arachnida; Sarcoptiformes; Chortoglyphidae. The record is from RNAcentral.